UACGGAGGGGGCUAGCGUUGUUCGGAAUUACUGGGCGUAAAGCGCGCGUAGGCGGCUUUGUAAGUUAGAGGUGAAAGCCCGGAGCUCAACUCCGGAACUGCCUUUAAGACUGCAUCGCUAGAAUUGUGGAGAGGUGAGUGGAAUUCCGAGUGUAGAGGUGAAAUUCGUAGAUAUUCGGAAGAACACCAGUGGCGAAGGCGGCUCACUGGCCCGGUACUGACGCUGAGGCACGAAAGCGUGGGGAGCAAACAGG
RNAcentral lists this ribosomal RNA (253 nucleotides) under uncultured bacterium. RNAcentral describes it as "partial 16S ribosomal RNA". It matches the Rfam family "Bacterial small subunit ribosomal RNA", at positions 524 to 776 of the family's 1533-position model. The record is from RNAcentral.